Molecule: ribosomal RNA, 392 nt
Filed under: uncultured bacterium
Lineage: Bacteria
Description: partial 16S ribosomal RNA
Rfam family: Bacterial small subunit ribosomal RNA
Source: RNAcentral
AUACGGAGGAUGCGAGCGUUAUCCGGAUUUAUUGGGUUUAAAGGGAGCGUAGGCGGGAGCUUAAGUCAGCGGUUAAAUGGUGCGGCUCAACCGUGCCCUGCCGUUGAAACUGGGUUUCUUGAGAGUGCAAGAGGCGGAUGGAAUUUAUGGUGUAGCGGUGAAAUGCUUAGAUAUCAUGAAGAACUCCGAUUGCGAAGGCAGUCCGCUGGGGCACGUCUGACGCUGAUGCUCGAAGGUGCGGGAAUCAAACAGGAUUAGAUACCCUGGUAGUCCACGCAGUAAACGAUGAUGACUAACCGUCGGCGAUACACAGUCGGUGGCCAAGCGAAAGCGAUAAGUCAUCCACCUGGGGAGUACGUUCGCAAGAAUGAAACUCAAAUGAAUUGACGGGG